Molecule: ribosomal RNA, 567 nt
Filed under: Schmidingerothrix salina
Lineage: Eukaryota; Ciliophora; Spirotrichea; Stichotrichida; Schmidingerotrichidae
Description: eukaryotic LSU rRNA
Rfam family: 5.8S ribosomal RNA (bases 164-315)
Source: RNAcentral
GUAGGUGAACCUGCGGAAGGAUCAUUACCAUUAAUCCAAACAACUCAACGAAGCCUUCAGUUGCAGCAGUGUGCUAGCUAGCGAAAGCAAGCAAUGCCGCAGUUGCAACAACAUAAAAACUAAUCACGCAAAGGAGCAUAACUAAGCUCAAUCACAAAAACCAAAUUCUCAACGGUGGAUAUCUUGGUUCCCAUAACGAUGAAGAACGCAGCGAAGUGCGAUAAGCAAUGCGAAUUGCAGAACCGUGAGUCAUCAGAUUUUUGAACGCAACUGGCGCCGGCUGGCUCUCCAGCCGGCAUGCUUGUUUCAGUGUCUCAUUUUCUCAUCACCCAAAUCUUAAUGCGAGAGAUACCCUUCUCUUGUCAAACACGAAAGCACUCUGCGCUUUGCAAGCGGCUUCUUCGACUAGUUCGAUAGCCGCACUCAAUGCAGCCGUCACAUUGCUCACAAUGUGAACUCAUUGAGAGCAGAGGCAGUGCAGCAUUAGCUGCAAAGUGCUUAGUCACUUAAACUUUUUUUGCAUCUGAAAUCAAGCAGGACCACCCGCUGAACUUAAGCAUAUCACUA